UGGGGAAUAUUGGACAAUGGGCGCAAGCCUGAUCCAGCAAUGCCGCGUGUGUGGAGAAGGCCUUCGGGUUGUAAAGCACUUUUAUCAGGAGCGAAACGCUGUCGGCUAAUACCCGGCGGAACUGACGGUACCUGAGGAAUAAGCACCGGCUAACUUCGUGCCAGCAGCCGCGGUAAUACGAAGGGUGCAAGCGUUAAUCGGAAUUACUGGGCGUAAAGCGUGCGUAGGCGGUUUCUUAAGUCUGCUGUGAAAUCCCCGGGCUCAACCUGGGAAUGGCAGUGGAUACUGGGAGGCUAGAGUGUGUCAGAGGGUGGUGGAAUUCCCGGUGUAGCGGUGAAAUGCGUAGAGAUCGGGAGGAACAUCAGUGGCGAAGGCGGCCACCUGGGACAACACUGACGCUGAGGCACGAAAGCGUGGGGAGCAAACAGGAUUAGAUACCCUGGUAGUCCACGCCCUAAAGCGAUGCGAACUGGAUGUUGGUCUCAACUCGGAGAUCAGUGUCGAAGCUACGCGUUAAGUUCGCCGCCU
RNAcentral lists this ribosomal RNA (528 nucleotides) under uncultured bacterium. RNAcentral's name for it is "partial 16S ribosomal RNA". It matches the Rfam family "Bacterial small subunit ribosomal RNA", at positions 355 to 874 of the family's 1533-position model. The record is from RNAcentral.